This 253-nucleotide ribosomal RNA is filed under the name uncultured bacterium. RNAcentral describes it as "partial 16S ribosomal RNA". It matches the Rfam family "Bacterial small subunit ribosomal RNA", at positions 524 to 776 of the family's 1533-position model. The record is from RNAcentral.
UACGUAGGUGACAAGCGUUGUCCGGAUUUACUGGGCGUAAAGAGCGCGCAGGCGGUCGUUCAAGUCGAGUGUGAAAGCCCCCGGCUCAACUGGGGAGGGUCACUCGAUACUGAUCGACUCGAAGGCAGGAGAGGGUAGUGGAAUUCCCGGUGUAGUGGUGAAAUGCGUAGAUAUCGGGAGGAACACCAGUGGCGAAGGCGACUUACUGGACGAUUGUUGACGCUGAGGUGCGAAAGCGUGGGGAGCAAACAGG